RNAcentral lists this ribosomal RNA (606 nucleotides) under Candida albicans. RNAcentral's name for it is "eukaryotic LSU rRNA". It matches the Rfam family "Eukaryotic large subunit ribosomal RNA", at positions 34 to 655 of the family's 3401-position model. The record is from RNAcentral. Lineage: Eukaryota; Fungi; Ascomycota; Pichiomycetes; Serinales; Debaryomycetaceae.
UUAAGCAUAUCAAUAAGCGGAGGAAAAGAAACCAACAGGGAUUGCCUCAGUAGCGGCGAGUGAAGCGGCAAAAGCUCAAAUUUGAAAUCUGGCGUCUUUGGCGUCCGAGUUGUAAUUUGAAGAAGGUAUCUUUGGGCCCGGCUCUUGUCUAUGUUCCUUGGAACAGGACGUCACAGAGGGUGAGAAUCCCGUGCGAUGAGAUGACCCGGGUCUGUGUAAAGUUCCUUCGACGAGUCGAGUUGUUUGGGAAUGCAGCUCUAAGUGGGUGGUAAAUUCCAUCUAAAGCUAAAUAUUGGCGAGAGACCGAUAGCGAACAAGUACAGUGAUGGAAAGAUGAAAAGAACUUUGAAAAGAGAGUGAAAAAGUACGUGAAAUUGUUGAAAGGGAAGGGCUUGAGAUCAGACUUGGUAUUUUGCAUGCUGCUCUCUCGGGGGCGGCCGCUGCGGUUUACCGGGCCAGCAUCGGUUUGGAGCGGCAGGAUAAUGGCGGAGGAAUGUGGCACGGCUUCUGCUGUGUGUUAUAGCCUCUGACGAUACUGCCAGCCUAGACCGAGGACUGCGGUUUUUACCUAGGAUGUUGGCAUAAUGAUCUUAAGUCGCCCGUCUU